CUCCAGGAUCCUACUGGGGGCCUUAAGCAUAAAGCAGAGAAAUAUCCUCCCAAAGUGUCCCGAGCCUUUGUGCCAACCGGGAUCCCUGGCAGGAGCACGGAGCCUCCCCAGCCUCCUCUUGGGGAAAAGAAGCCACAGAUGGGCAUACGGGCAGAAGAUGGUCUUGGGUAGUGAUGGAGGCUGGGAGAAGGGAGGGAAAGGAAGGAGAGAGCCAGGAAGGAGGGAGCACCAAUGAGACAAGAACUCUGAUUGGAUGCUUUCAUUUUGGCAAGGAAAAGACUGCAAGCAAUCCACUGUAGGUUAACCAUGUACACUUCUUCUAAACCUAUCUCCAUAUUGGUCACGCUGAACAAGAAAUAUCAGAUGAAAAGGGAAAAACUAGACAAGAAAGAAACAAAUAAACAAACAUCCAAAAAGAGCUAAGUCUUGAAAACAAGGAAGGAAUUCAAAGAUGGAACUGUGAGGAGUGUGUACCUUCCACGUGUGCAUUACAGCCACGGCAAAAGCACAGAGGUGGAAGAUUAAAAUUAUAUAUGAGGAAAAGCAAGAAGCUUGCCUGAGAUGUGAACUGUGGGAAGGAGAGCGCUUCCCAAGAGUCUACUUAAUCUUAGACCAUCCAACCGAAAGAGAUCAUCUUGUCCAAACUUACCGGAGAUUUCCCCCUCUGAGUGCCUGUGUUCAUCUGAUAGUCUCCUGAGGACUCCUGGAACAAAGAACUUUUUCCCCCUCAAGGCAAUCUCUUCAUUGAUAACACAUUCUGGAGCCUGAAGAAAGGACAUUUCAGCCGCUCUUCAAGGUCUUCCCCACUACUUCAGA
This 816-nucleotide long non-coding RNA is filed under the name Sarcophilus harrisii (Tasmanian devil). Its description in RNAcentral is "lncRNA (ENSSHAG00000022390.1)". The record is from RNAcentral. Lineage: Eukaryota; Metazoa; Chordata; Mammalia; Dasyuromorphia; Dasyuridae.